Molecule: long non-coding RNA, 678 nt
Filed under: Daucus carota (carrot)
Lineage: Eukaryota; Viridiplantae; Streptophyta; Magnoliopsida; Apiales; Apiaceae
Description: long non-coding RNA (DCAR_LNC000548)
Source: RNAcentral
GACUAGAAUGGAAGUGGACGGAGAGGGGUGAGGAAGGAUGUGAAAAUGGAUGGGAAGUUGGGAGAUCGAGACGGAGUUUGUGAUGGUGAAAGGGGAAGGUGGAGAUGGGUGUGUACGAGGGAGGGGUGGUGAAGAUGGUUGUGGCUAGCCCGGCUAGGAGAAAAGGAAUGGGGCGAUGGCCUUCAGCCCAGAGGAGAAUCCAGGGCUACAGCUUUCCUAAUGAACAAGUAAUGACAAUUCAAGAACACCUUGUAUCAGUGGAGUCAAGGAGCAUACAUAUACAUUUCUCUCACAAAUUUAAUAUUUAUAAUAAUUUUUAUAUAUUAUAAAUGAGUAAUAGAAAUAAUAUAUAUAGAUAUUAUCUUAGAGAAUCAUGAGAACACAUCUUCAGGGGGAGUAUCAGAAACUCAGAAGGAGAUCGAGACGGAGUUUGUGAUGGUGAAAGGGGAAGGUGGAGAUGGGUGUGUACGAGGGAGGGGUGGUGAAGAUGGUUGUGGCUAGCCCGGCUAGGAGAAAAGGAAUGGGGCGAUGGCCUUCAGCCCAGAGGAGAAUCCAGGGCUACAGCUUUCCUAAUGAACAAGUAAUGACAAUUCAAGAACACCUUGUAUCAGUGGAGUCAAGGAGCAUACAUAUACAUUUCUCUCACAAAUUUAAUAUUUAUAAUAAUUUUUAUAUAUU